RNAcentral lists this small nuclear RNA (351 nucleotides) under Vulpes vulpes (red fox). RNAcentral's name for it is "7SK RNA (ENSVVUG00000007693.1)". It matches the Rfam family "7SK RNA". Rfam says of the family: 7SK was discovered as an abundant small nuclear RNA in the mid-70s but a possible function has only recently been suggested. Two independent studies have found that 7SK RNA binds the CDK9/cyclin T complex (known as elongation factor P-TEFb). P-TEFb activates transcription by phosphorylating the C-terminal domain of RNA polymerase II. The record is from Rfam by way of RNAcentral. Lineage: Eukaryota; Metazoa; Chordata; Mammalia; Carnivora; Canidae.
GGACAUAUUGGUGAUCUGGCUGUGACAUCUGUCACCCACUGAUCGCCAGGGUGGAUUCAGCUGAUCAAACUGUCUAAGCAAGUGUUCCCUUCCUCCCUCACCGCUCCAUUUGCAUCAGUCCCAAAGCUGCAUGCACCAUGGAAAAGGAUAACCCAUCCCUGAGACAGGAAGACCGUUCUUCAGUCAGGGGUAUACAAGUAGUUGCAAUCCCCUGCUAGAACCUCCAGACAAGGUCGCAAAUCUUUUAGCUAAUUGUUUUCAUAUUUGCAUCCAUGUCUGCAAGUAACUUAAACAUAUUGCUACUUCUGAAUUUUUCCAUACUAGGUAUUAUCUGUUAUAAUACCUGUAUGU